AUUGAACGCUGGCGGCAGGCUUAACACAUGCAAGUCGAGCGGGGGAAGGUAGCUUGCUACCGGACCUAGCGGCGGACGGGUGAGUAAUGCUUAGGAGUCUGCCUAUUAGUGGGGGACAACAUCUCGAAAGGGAUGCUAAUACCGCAUACGUCCUACGGGAGAAAGCAGGGGAUCUUCGGACCUUGCGCUAAUAGAUGAGCCUAAGUCGGAUUAGCUAGUUGGUGGGGUAAAGGCCUACCAAGGCGACGAUCUGUAGCGGGUCUGAGAGGAUGAUCCGCCACACUGGGACUGGGACACGGCCCAGACUCCUACGGGAGGUAGCAGUGGGGAAUAUUGGACAAUGGGGGGAACCCUGAUCCAGCCAUGCCGCGUGUGUGAAGAAGGCCUUAUGGUUGUAAAGCACUUUAAGCGAGGAGGAGGCUACUCUAGUUAAUACCUAGGGACAGUGGACGUUACUCGCAGAAUAAGCACCGGCUAACUCUGUGCCAGCCGCCGCCGUAA
Molecule: ribosomal RNA, 501 nt
Filed under: uncultured bacterium
Lineage: Bacteria
Description: partial 16S ribosomal RNA
Rfam family: Bacterial small subunit ribosomal RNA
Source: RNAcentral